Molecule: ribosomal RNA, 499 nt
Filed under: uncultured bacterium
Lineage: Bacteria
Description: partial 16S ribosomal RNA
Rfam family: Bacterial small subunit ribosomal RNA
Source: RNAcentral
AUUGAACGCUGGCGGCAUGCCUUACACAUGCAAGUCGAACGGUAACAGGUCUUCGGAUGCUGACGAGUGGCGAACGGGUGAGUAAUACAUCGGAACGUGCCUGGUAGUGGGGGAUAACUACUCGAAAGAGUGGCUAAUACCGCAUGAGAUCUACGGAUGAAAGCAGGGGAUCGCAAGACCUUGUGCUACUAGAGCGGCCGAUGGCAGUAUUAGGUAGUUGGUGGGAUAAAAGCUUACCAAGCCGUCGAUCUGUAGCUGGUCUGAGAGGACGAUCAGACACACUGGGACUGUGAAACGGCCCAGAAUCAUCCGGGAGGCAGCAGUGGGGAAGUUUGGAAAAUGGGCGCAAGCCUGAUCCAGCAAUGCCGCGGGCAGGAUGAAGGCCUGCGGGUUGUAAACUGCUUUUGUACGGAACGAAAAGCCCCGGGUUAAUACCCUGGGGUCAUGACGGUACCGUAAGAAUAAGCACCGGCUAACUACGUGCCAGCAGCCGCCGUAA